CGGGUGAGUAACGCGUGGGCAACCUGGCCUGUACAGGGGGAUAACACUUAGAAAUAGGUGCUAAUACCGCAUAAGCGCACAGAGCCGCAUGGCUCAGUGUGAAAAACUCCGGUGGUGUAAGAUGGAUCCGCGUCUGAUUAGCUGGUUGGCGGGGUAGAAGCCCACCAAGGCGACGAUCAGUAGCCGGCCUGAGAGGGUGAACGGCCACAUUGGGACUGAGACACGGCCCAAACUCCUACGGGAGGCAGCAG
Molecule: ribosomal RNA, 251 nt
Filed under: uncultured bacterium
Lineage: Bacteria
Description: partial 16S ribosomal RNA
Rfam family: Bacterial small subunit ribosomal RNA
Source: RNAcentral